UUCUUUUUUAAGUCUUUUGUUAAUUUUUUAGAACAUUUUUUUAAUGACAUUUAUAAAGAAAAUAAGUUUAAAGAUUGUUUUACGAUGUUAGGAUUUUUUUAUUUAUUCCAGAAGCAAUUGUACACAUUUAUCAACAUGAUUCAAGAGAAUGGAAGAUUAAAGAAACAAGUAAUAUGAAAAUUGAUUAAUUUGGGUAAAAUUAGUAUACAGUAUGGAUUUCUUAUGUUUGAACGGGUGUGGAAAAAAGGUUAGAGGAUGAUAGAUUUGUGGCAACAGAAGCAAAAAGAAAUAGAAGAAAAGAUUUGAAGAAUUAAAAGAAAAAUAAAUAAAUAAUUGUUAAAAAUAUGUAAUAUUCAUAUGUCUGCAAAAGAACCAAACGUUUAAAAUAAAGCAUAUAAAAUAAGAUUAUUUUAUAUUUUGUUAUCUUUUAAACUUAAAACCAAUCCAGUAAAAAAUAAGAAGGAAAAAAAUUACAAAUCUAAGUUGGGUAUCUUCAAUGGGUAUUCUAUUUUGUCUUUUAAACUUGAAACCAAUCCAGUAAAAAUUAAGAAAAAAAAAUUAAAAAUCUAUCUUCA
RNAcentral lists this long non-coding RNA (575 nucleotides) under Vigna radiata. RNAcentral's name for it is "long non-coding RNA (VRAD_LNC011709)". Lineage: Eukaryota; Viridiplantae; Streptophyta; Magnoliopsida; Fabales; Fabaceae. The record is from RNAcentral.